Long non-coding RNA from Perognathus longimembris pacificus (Pacific pocket mouse), 326 nucleotides. RefSeq lists it as uncharacterized. The record is from RefSeq and is a predicted model, not a curated record. Lineage: Eukaryota; Metazoa; Chordata; Mammalia; Rodentia; Heteromyidae. The transcript is spliced from 2 exons.
UCACCUUUUUAUUUUUAUUCUUUUUAUCAUCCAGUGUGUUUAUCUAAAGGCACACUCUAGUUACCACAAAUGAGGGAAACCAGGCAACCUGUUCUUUGGGUCUGGCUUACUUCACUUAAUAUAGUCUGUCUUUAGGAUGGUAAGAAGGGACACAGAAGUAGGUGGGACAGGGGCUGGGAAUAUGGCCUAGUGGUAGAGUGCUUAACUCGCAUGCAUAAAGCCCUGUGUGUGUGUGUGUGUGUGUGUGUGUGUGUGUGUGUGUGUGUGUGGUUAACCUUGCUUGUCAUCAAAAACAUCCAGACUUAUCUGGGCCAAACAAAAUAAGU